Non-coding RNA from Microcebus murinus (gray mouse lemur), 475 nucleotides. Lineage: Eukaryota; Metazoa; Chordata; Mammalia; Primates; Cheirogaleidae. The record is from RefSeq and is a predicted model, not a curated record.
CACAAACAGCAUCAUGAGAGGUUUCCUGAUCCCUACAGCUGCAGUAAUCCUCUCCCCAGAAAGUAGGAGAUGAUCAUAUCAGGAAGGGCUUUAAUAAGUCAUCAGAAUCAAUGCUUUCAACAGAACAGACUCUACAUCUAGAUCCAAAUACAAUCAACAGCAGGCUAAGGACACUCCUUUCUCCUGAGCUGACCUUAGAAAUCAUGAAUUCAUCUUGGUUCACAUCUAUACCAUUUCUUUCCUGAACUUCAACAAAACAAAAUACAAUAUGUAAAUUAUACUAUUUGCCACAUUCCAGUUUUUGUGUGUUAUGAAAACACCUUUUAGAAUGUAUGUGACUAGAACAAGAAGACAUUUUUCUAUGAUAAUUUAAGAUACGGUAUUUUUAAUAAAGUAUUCUAAACAAAUACUAUAGAAACUGACUUUUGAUUUUAUGCAGAUAAUUUUUAUUUUAUUUUAUUUAUUGUUUUGCUUU